GCAGCAGCCACGGGAAUACAGAGGGUGCGAGCGUUAAUCGGAUUUACUGGGCGUAAAGCGUGCGUAGGCGGCUUUUUAAGUCGGAUGUGAAAUCCCUGAGCUUAACUUAGGAAUUGCAUUCGAUACUGGGAAGCUAGAGUAUGGGAGAGGAUGGUAGAAUUCCAGGUGUAGCGGUGAAAUGCGUAGAGAUCUGGAGGAAUACCGAUGGCGAAGGCAGCCAUCUGGCCUAAUACUGACGCUGAGGUACGAAAGCAUGGGGAGCAAACAGGAUUAGAUACCCCCGUAGUCCCUGUCUCUUAUAC
Molecule: ribosomal RNA, 302 nt
Filed under: uncultured bacterium
Lineage: Bacteria
Description: partial 16S ribosomal RNA
Rfam family: Bacterial small subunit ribosomal RNA
Source: RNAcentral